RNAcentral lists this small RNA (94 nucleotides) under Clostridium botulinum A str. Hall. Lineage: Bacteria; Bacillati; Bacillota; Clostridia; Eubacteriales; Clostridiaceae. RNAcentral also lists the same sequence under 1 other name. The record is from RNAcentral.
GGUAAUGAUGAAAAUGAUAUAAGUAUGAUAAAAAAAGCAGGUCUUGGAGUAUUUAUGAAAAACACAAGAGAAGAAUUAAAGAAAUAUGCUGAUU